CACGUAGGGCGCAAGCGUUGUCCGGAAUUAUUGGGCGUAAAGAGCUCGUAGGCGGUCUGUUACGUCUGCUGUGAAAACCCGGGGCUCAACUCCGGGCCUGCAGCCGAUACGGGCAGACUAGAGUUCGGCAGGGGAGACUGGAAUUCCUGGUGUAGCGGUGAAAUGCGCAGAUAUCAGGAGGAACACCGGUGGCGAAGGCGGGUCUCUGGGCCGAUACUGACGCUGAGGAGCGAAAGCGUGGGGAGCGAACAGG
RNAcentral lists this ribosomal RNA (253 nucleotides) under uncultured bacterium. RNAcentral describes it as "partial 16S ribosomal RNA". It matches the Rfam family "Bacterial small subunit ribosomal RNA", at positions 524 to 776 of the family's 1533-position model. The record is from RNAcentral.